GACGAACGCUGGCGGCGUGCUUAACACAUGCAAGUCGAACGGAAAGGCCCUGCUCGCAGGGUACUCGAGUGGCGAACGGGUGAGUAACACGUGGGUGAUCUGCCCUGCACUUCGGGAUAAGCCUGGGAAACUGGGUCUAAUACCGGAUAGGAGCCAUUUUUAGUGUGAUGGUUGGAAAGUUUUUUCGGUGUAGGAUGAGCUCGCGGCCUAUCAGCUUGUUGGUGGGGUAAUGGCCUACCAAGGCGGCGACGGGUAGCCGGCCUGAGAGGGUGGACGGCCACAUGGGGACUGAGAUACGGCACAGACGCCUACGGGAGGCAGCAGUGGGGAAUAUUGCAGAAUGGGCGCAAGCCUGAUGCAGCGACGCCGCGUGGGUGAUGACGGCCUUCGGGUUGUAAACUCCUUUCGCUAGGGACGAAGCUUUUUGUGACGGUACCUAGAUAAGAAGCACCGGCUAACUACGUG
This 465-nucleotide ribosomal RNA is filed under the name uncultured bacterium. RNAcentral describes it as "partial 16S ribosomal RNA". It matches the Rfam family "Bacterial small subunit ribosomal RNA", at positions 28 to 507 of the family's 1533-position model. The record is from RNAcentral.